RNAcentral lists this ribosomal RNA (386 nucleotides) under uncultured bacterium. RNAcentral's name for it is "bacterial SSU rRNA". It matches the Rfam family "Bacterial small subunit ribosomal RNA", at positions 28 to 416 of the family's 1533-position model. The record is from RNAcentral.
GACGAACGCUGGCGGCGUGCUUAACACAUGCAAGUCGAGCGGUAAGGCCCUUUCGGGGGUACACGAGCGGCGAACGGGUGAGUAACACGUGGGUGACCUGCCCUCAGCUCUGGGAUAAGCCUGGGAAACCGGGUCUAAUACCGGAUAUGACUCCAUGACGCAUGUUGUGGGGUGGAAAGCCUUGUGCGGCUGAGGAUGGGCCCGCGGCCUAUCAGCUUGUUGGUGGGGUGAUGGCCUACCAAGGCGACGACGGUAGCCGGCCUGAGAGGGCGACCGGCCACACUGGGACUGAGACACGGCCCAGACUCCUACGGGAGGCAGCAGUGGGGAAUCUUGCGCAAUGGGCGAAAGCCUGACGCAGCGACGCCGCGUGAGGGAUGACGGCC